GGGCCCGCGCCCCCCAGACCCCGAGAGCCCGCAGCUCCAGCCCGGCGGCGAUGGCGCGGAGCGUGCGCGUGCUCGUGGACAUGGACGGCGUCCUCACCGACUUCGAGGCCGGCCUUCUGCGGGGCUUCCGCCGCCGCUUCCCUGAGGAGCCGCACGUGCCGCUGGAGCAGCGCCGCGGCUUCCUGGCCCGCGAGCAGUACCGCGCCCUGCGGCCCGACCUGGCAGAUAAAGUGGCCAGUGUGUACGAAGCCCCGGGCUUUUUCCUGGACCUGGAGCCCAUCCCGGGAGCCUUGGACGCUGUGCGGGAGAUGAACGACCUACCGGAGUAAGGAGAGUGGGGGCAGGCGGAGUCCUGGGCGGGCUCCUGGCUCCCGGCGGUAACCACGUCCUUCUCCGCAGCACGGAGGUCUUCAUCUGCACCAGCCCCCUGCUGAAGUACGACCACUGUGUGGGUGAGAAGUACCGCUGGGUGGAGCAGCACUUGGGGCCCCAGUUCGUAGAACGAAUUAUCCUGACAAGGGACAAGACGGUGGUCUUGGGGGACCUGCUCAUUGACGACAAGGACACAAUUCGAGGCCAGGAGGAGACCCCAAGCUGGGAGCACAUCUUGUUCACCUGCUGCCACAAUCGGCACCUGGUCCUGCCCC
Molecule: small RNA, 647 nt
Filed under: Pongo abelii (Sumatran orangutan)
Lineage: Eukaryota; Metazoa; Chordata; Mammalia; Primates; Hominidae
Description: retained intron
Source: RNAcentral